This 292-nucleotide ribosomal RNA is filed under the name uncultured bacterium. RNAcentral describes it as "partial 16S ribosomal RNA". It matches the Rfam family "Bacterial small subunit ribosomal RNA", at positions 775 to 1067 of the family's 1533-position model. The record is from RNAcentral.
GGAUUAGAUACCCUGGUAGUCCACGCUGUAAACGCUGAGAACUAGGUGUUGGUUCUGUAAUGGGAUUAGUACCGAAGCUAACGUGAUAAGUUCUCCGCCUGGGGAUUACGGUCGCAAGAUUAAAACUCAAAGGAAUUGACGGGGGCCCGCACAAGCGGUGGAGCAUGUGGUUUAAUUCGAUGCAACGCGCAAAACCUUACCUACCCUUGACAUCCUGGGAAGCUUUCAGAGAUGAGAGUGUGCCUUCGGGCCCCAGAGACAGGUGCUGCAUGGCUGUCGUCAGCUCGUGCCG